GUAUAGAGUUAUUGGCGUACAACUUUGAGCGGUGGAUCACUCGGCGCUGUGUGUCGAUGAAGAGUGCAGC
This 70-nucleotide ribosomal RNA is filed under the name Schistosoma japonicum. RNAcentral describes it as "partial 5.8S ribosomal RNA". Lineage: Eukaryota; Metazoa; Platyhelminthes; Trematoda; Strigeidida; Schistosomatidae. The record is from RNAcentral.